This 232-nucleotide unclassified non-coding RNA is filed under the name rhizosphere metagenome. RNAcentral's name for it is "partial ribosomal RNA internal transcribed spacer region". The record is from RNAcentral.
GAGUUCUGACGUGGGUUGUCGCUGGUCCUCCGGGGCAUGUGCACGCUCAUUGUUCAAUCCACUCUACACCUGUGCACACUAGUAGUUUCUCUAAAGGAUGUAUCGGAAGGCUUCACGGCCGGAAAGUAUGUCUCGCGGGGACUCUGCGUUUUUAUAUACACAUAAAGUCUAGAAUGUAACCUUUGCUAUAAACGCAUUUAAUACAACUUUCAACAACGGAUCUCUUGGCUCU